CAGGUCAAAGAGAACAACUACACGAGGAUCUGCGAGCAGAAAAGCAUGCUCACCGUGAACGGCCAGUUCCCCGGCCCGACCAUCACCGCGCAAAAGGGGGAGGUCUUCAUUGUCAACGUCUACAACCAGGGCAAUAAACCCAUCACCAUCCACUGGUAA
RNAcentral lists this ribosomal RNA (159 nucleotides) under Triticum aestivum (bread wheat). RNAcentral's name for it is "partial small subunit ribosomal RNA". The record is from RNAcentral. Lineage: Eukaryota; Viridiplantae; Streptophyta; Magnoliopsida; Poales; Poaceae.